Molecule: non-coding RNA, 29 nt
Filed under: Rattus norvegicus (Norway rat)
Lineage: Eukaryota; Metazoa; Chordata; Mammalia; Rodentia; Muridae
Source: RNAcentral
GAUGUAGUAUGUAGACUACGGUCAAAGGC